AUACGUAGGGGGCGAGCGUUGUCCGGAAUGACUGGGCGUAAAGGGCGUGUAGGCGGUCUUGCAAGUCAGAAGUGAAAUUCCUGAGCUCAACUCGGGCGCUGCUUCUGAAACUGCAGGACUUGAGUGCUGGAGGGGAUAGCGGAAUUCCUAGUGGAGCGGUAAAAUGCGCAGAUAUUAGGAAGAACACCGGUGGCGAAGGCGGCUAUCUGGACAGUAACUGACGCUGAGGCGCGAAAGCGUGGGGAGCAAACAGGAUUAGAUGCCCUGGUAGUCCACGCCGUAAACGAUGAAUACUAGGUGUAGGGGGUAUCGACUCCCUCUGUGCCGCAGUUAACACAAUAAGUAUUCCGCCUGGGGAGUACGGCCGCAAGGUUGAAACUCAAAUGAAUUGACGGGG
Molecule: ribosomal RNA, 397 nt
Filed under: uncultured bacterium
Lineage: Bacteria
Description: partial 16S ribosomal RNA
Rfam family: Bacterial small subunit ribosomal RNA
Source: RNAcentral